AAUGAACGCUGGCGGCAGGCCUAAAACAUGCAAGUCGAACGCCCGUAGCAAUACAGGAGUGGCGCACGGGUGCGUAACACGUGGGAAUAUGCCUAUUGGUACGGAACAGCUCCGGGAAACUGGAAUUAAUACCGUAUGGUCCCUUCGGGGUAAAGAUUUAUCGCCAAUAGAUUAGCCCGCGGUGGAUUAGCUAGUUGGUAGGGUAAUGGCCUACCAUGGCGACGAUCCAUAGCUGGUCUGAGAGGACGAUCAGCCACACUGGGACUGAGACACGGCCCAGACUCCUACGGGAGGCAGCAGUUAGGAAUAUUGGACAAUGGGCGCAAGCCUGAUCCAGCCAUGCCGCGUGAGUGAUGAAGGCCUUCGGGUUGUAAAACUCUUUAGCCGAUGAAUAUAAUGACUGUAGUCGGAAAAUAAGCCCCGGCUAACUUCGUGCCAGCCGCCGCGGUAA
This 451-nucleotide ribosomal RNA is filed under the name uncultured bacterium. Its description in RNAcentral is "partial 16S ribosomal RNA". It matches the Rfam family "Bacterial small subunit ribosomal RNA", at positions 29 to 523 of the family's 1533-position model. The record is from RNAcentral.